Molecule: long non-coding RNA, 364 nt
Organism: Bubalus bubalis (water buffalo)
Lineage: Eukaryota; Metazoa; Chordata; Mammalia; Artiodactyla; Bovidae
Exons: 3
Source: RefSeq, a predicted model, not a curated record
AGUACUGGAGUGGGUUGCCAUUUCCUUCUCCAGGGGAUCUUCCUGACCCAGGGAUUGAACCCGGGUCUCCUGCAUUGCAGGCAGAUGCUUCACCCUGUAAACCACCAGGGAUUCAUCUCCAUAGGCAACUGCUGUUCCCAAAACUUGACUCUUUGAGUCAGGAUUCAGUGUCUGUCCCAAGAUAUACAUCACAUCUUUCCAAGUAAGGUCAUAAAGCAGAGUAACACCUUUAAAAGCUCUAUGAUCCGAUAGAUUAAGUUAGUACUUCUAAUUCCCAAGGAGUUAUGAAAUGGUCAAAGAGACCGAAAAGUUUGACAGAGAAAGGAGAGUUUGGUCCACACGCUUUGCACAUUUCUCAUCGGUU